GUCCACGCCGUAAACUAUGAGAACUAGCCGUUGGGACCCUUGAGGUCUUAGUGGCGCAGCUAACGCGAUAAGUUCUCCGCCUGGGGAGUACGGCCGCAAGGUUAAAACUCAAAUGAAUUGACGGGGGCCCGCACAAGCGGUGGAGCAUGUUGUUUAAUUCGAUGCAACGCGAAGAACCUUACCACCCCUUGACAUCCUCAGAACUUGUCGGAGACGACUUGGUGCCUUCGGGAACUGAGUGACAGGUGCUGCAUGGCUGUCGU
Molecule: ribosomal RNA, 263 nt
Filed under: uncultured bacterium
Lineage: Bacteria
Description: partial 16S ribosomal RNA
Rfam family: Bacterial small subunit ribosomal RNA
Source: RNAcentral